AACGUUAAUACGUUAGUUCCAACAAAACCAAAAACACAAUCCAACAGAGUAAACCGGUCGAGUGUACCAAAUUUUUUCUUCUUCUUCUUCUUUUUUUCGGUUUGGUGAACUCGUGGUCGAGUGACUGUGAGCUUGAAAGGCAGAGGUGUUCUUGUGGUGAAGUCGAGUGAAGCGAAUGUGACGGUCAAGUGAAACGGAGACGAAUGAGAGGUGGUGGUGGCAAAGAGACGAAAGCAGCGGCGAUCGAGUGAUGGAAUCGAACACUUGAGGAAGUUUGGUGUGUGGAAAAAGAUGUUGAGGUCGAGUAUAUGAAGAAGAUGGUGAGGAGGUCGAGUGGUUGAGAGUAUGAGAGUUGGUUUGUUGGUGAUGAUGAAUGAGGAGGGAUGGGGUAGAGUUUAAUAGGUGUGGAGGAGAUAACGAGGUCGAGUAAGUGAUAGGUGAGGGAUGGUGAUGGCGUCGAGGUCGAGUGAUGGGUUGAGAUAGGAUAGGGUGAGGGAGUCGAGUGGUUGUGAGAAGAAGGUGUUGGAUUUCUUGUCUGUUGGUUAGGAGCAUGGGAGACAUAGGGUGCAGCAGUGGGUUCCUCGUUUGUCUCCUUGUUAUGAGUUAUUAUUCUUUCUUCACUAGGAAAGUCUCAGGAAAUCCAACAAUCUUCUGUAAACUUUAUAAACUCCCAGUAAGACUCUGUAGCUUCUGUUGGUCGAGUGAAAUGAUGAUUUAAAAGUUUUUAGGUUUUAAACAUCACUCACACUCGACCAAUGUACUCGAUCUCUAGGCCAUCAGUAGAGUAAAAGUUUUGAAUUUUUACUCUACCUUCACGUUAUUCCCAUUU
Molecule: small RNA, 829 nt
Filed under: Arabidopsis thaliana (thale cress)
Lineage: Eukaryota; Viridiplantae; Streptophyta; Magnoliopsida; Brassicales; Brassicaceae
Description: ATSL193400
Source: RNAcentral